Molecule: ribosomal RNA, 487 nt
Filed under: uncultured bacterium
Lineage: Bacteria
Description: bacterial SSU rRNA
Rfam family: Bacterial small subunit ribosomal RNA
Source: RNAcentral
ACGGGAGGCAGCAGUGGGGAAUAUUGCACAAUGGGGGAAACCCUGAUGCAGCAACGCCGCGUGAAGGAUGAAGGCCUUUGGGUCGUAAACUUCUGUUCUAAGGGAAGAUAGUGACGGUACCUUAGGAGCAAGUCCCGGCUAACUACGUGCCAACAGCCGCGGUAAUACGUAGGGGGCAAGCGUUAUCCGGAAUUAUUGGGCGUAAAGAGUACGUAGGUGGUUUUCUAAGCACGGGGUUUAAGGCAAUGGCUUAACCAUUGUUCGCCUUGUGAACUGGAAGACUUGAGUGCAGGAGAGGAAAGCGGAAUUCCUAGUGUAGCGGUGAAAUGCGUAGAUAUUAGGAGGAACACCAGUGGCGAAGGCGGCUUUCUGGACUGUAACUGACACUGAGGUACGAAAGCGUGGGGAGCAAACAGGAUUAGAUACCCUGGUAGUCCACGCCGUAAACGAUGAGCACUAGGUGUCGGGGUCGCAAGACUUCGGUGCC